UACAUGCAAGUCGUACGAGCUUCCGUUGAAUGACGUGCUUGCACUGAUUUUAACAAUGCAGCGAGUGGCGAACUGGUGAGUAACACGUGGGAAAUCUGCCCAGAAGCAGGGGAUAACACUUGGAAACAGGUGCUAAUACCGUAUAACAACAAAAUCCGCAUGGAUUUUGUUUGAAAGGUGGCUUCGGCUAUCACUUCUGGAUGAUCCCGCGGCGUAUUAGUUAGUUGGUGAGGUAAAGGCCCACCAAGACGAUGAUACGUAGCCGACCUGAGAGGGUAAUCGGCCACAUUGGGACUGAGACACGGCCCAAACUCCUACGGGAGGCAGCAGUAGGGAAUCUUCCACAAUGGACGAAAGUCUGAUGGAGCAAUGCCGCGUGAGUGAAGAAGGGUUUCGGCUCGUAAAACUCUGUUGUUAAAGAAGAACACCUUUGAGAGUAACUGUUCAAGGGUUGACGGUAUUUAACCAGAAAGCCACGGCUAACUACGUGCCAGCAGCCGCGGUAAUACGUAGGUGGCAAGCGUUGUCCGGAUUUAUUGGGCGUAAAGCGAGUGCAGGCGGUUUUUUAAGUCUGAUGUGAAAGCCUUCGGCUUAACCGGAGAAGUGCAUCGGAAACUGGGAGACUUGAGUGCAGAAGAGGACAGUGGAACUCCAUGUGUAGCGGUGGAAUGCGUAGAUAUAUGGAAGAACACCAGUGGCGAAGGCGGCUGUCUAGUCUGUAACUGACGCUGAGGCUCGAAAGCAUGGGUAGCGAACAGGAUUAGAUACCCUGGUAGUCCAUGCCGUAAACGAUGAGUGCUAAGUGUUGGAGGGUUUCCGCCCUUCAGUGCUGCAGCUAACGCAUUAAGCACUCCGCCUGGGGAGUACGACCGCAAGGUUGAAACUCAAAGGAAUUGACGGGGGCCCGCACAAGCGGUGGAGCAUGUGGUUUAAUUCUAAGCUACGCGAAGAACCUUACCAGGUCUUGACAUCUUCUGCUAAUCUUAGAGAUACGACGUACCCUUC
RNAcentral lists this ribosomal RNA (1005 nucleotides) under Levilactobacillus brevis. RNAcentral's name for it is "bacterial SSU rRNA". It matches the Rfam family "Bacterial small subunit ribosomal RNA", at positions 52 to 1021 of the family's 1533-position model. The record is from RNAcentral. Lineage: Bacteria; Bacillati; Bacillota; Bacilli; Lactobacillales; Lactobacillaceae.